UACGUAGGGUGCAAGCGUUGUCCGGAAUUAUUGGGCGUAAAGAGCUCGUAGGCGGUUAGUCGCGUCUGCUGUGAAAACUCGGGGCUCAACCUCGAGAUGUCGGCGGAAACCAUCAGACUAGAGUCCGGAAGAGGAGAGUGGAAUUCCUGGUGUAGCGGUGAAAUGCGCAGAUAUCAGGAAGAACACCCGUGGCUAAGGCGGCUCUCUAGUACGGU
This 215-nucleotide ribosomal RNA is filed under the name uncultured bacterium. RNAcentral's name for it is "partial 16S ribosomal RNA". It matches the Rfam family "Bacterial small subunit ribosomal RNA", at positions 524 to 738 of the family's 1533-position model. The record is from RNAcentral.